This 455-nucleotide ribosomal RNA is filed under the name Pantoea agglomerans. RNAcentral's name for it is "bacterial SSU rRNA". It matches the Rfam family "Bacterial small subunit ribosomal RNA", at positions 58 to 504 of the family's 1533-position model. The record is from RNAcentral. Lineage: Bacteria; Pseudomonadati; Pseudomonadota; Gammaproteobacteria; Enterobacterales; Erwiniaceae.
CAAGUCGAACGGUAGCACAGAGAGCUUGCUCUCGGGUGACGAGUGGCGGACGGGUGAGUAAUGUCUGGGAAACUGCCUGAUGGAGGGGGAUAACUACUGGAAACGGUAGCUAAUACCGCAUAACGUCGCAAGACCAAAGAGGGGGACCUUCGGGCCUCUUGCCAUCAGAUGUGCCCAGAUGGGAUUAGCUAGUAGGUGGGGUAACGGCUCACCUAGGCGACGAUCCCUAGCUGGUCUGAGAGGAUGACCAGCCACACUGGAACUGAGACACGGUCCAGACUCCUACGGGAGGCAGCAGUGGGGAAUAUUGCACAAUGGGCGCAAGCCUGAUGCAGCCAUGCCGCGUGUAUGAAGAAGGCCUUCGGGUUGUAAAGUACUUUCAGCGGGGAGGAAGGUGUUGUGGUUAAUAACCUCAUCGAUUGACGUUACCCGCAGAAGAAGCACCUGAUAACUCC